AAGUCGUAACAAGGUUUCCGUAGGUGAACCUGCGGAAGGAUCAUUAAUGAGUUGUGAUGGGGUUUGAUGCUGGCAGCCUAAUUUUGGAUGCAUGUGCUUGCCCUGACAAUCAUCUUCCAAACACCUGUGCACAUUUUUGAGGGAGUUUCGAGUUAAUUGCCAUUCGUUUGGUGUAUUUCUCGCGUUCCCUUAAAUUUUAUUAUACGCUGUUAACAAAUGCUGAACGUGCUUUGUGCCGCAAGGCCCUUAGUAUAAUACAA
RNAcentral lists this unclassified non-coding RNA (260 nucleotides) under plant metagenome. RNAcentral's name for it is "partial contains small subunit ribosomal RNA and internal transcribed spacer 1". The stretch from base 1 to 46 matches the Rfam family "Eukaryotic small subunit ribosomal RNA", at positions 1786 to 1831 of the family's 1831-position model. The record is from RNAcentral.